UUAAUAUUAUGAAAGGAACAAAAAAAAAACGCAAACACUUUGUCGGGUUUCUUUCACCAAACGCUCUCUUCGUCGUCUCCGUCACCUCCAUCUCCGAUGGUCCCUUUUCCCUCACAACCGGCUUUGUCUCCGUCACCUCUACCGUAAUUCGAAUUUGUCUCCGGCAUCCUCCACGAUAAUUCACCUUCAUCUCUUUCUUACUCGACAAACUCGAAAUCGAUUUCGCCACAGUCACAUCCGGCUUCAGUUGCAAGUUACUCUAAUCUGUUUAAUUUAGCAAAGAGAGCAACAACCUCUGCAAACUCAACUCUUACAAGCACUCUGGAAGACGGUGACAACCAUUCAGGUAGCUGACAAGGAGAAAGGUGUGGUACUUGAAACCACCAAGACAAAGAAACAAAGCAAGCUUAAGCUCUAUGUUAACAAGUCUGUCCUCAAGGAGUUCCCUAUGAUGGCCAAAACUGUUGCCAACCAGGUAUUAAACCUGAUUUGAAGAUGACAACACUUGCUAGGCUCAGCGUGAUCAGAAAAGGCCUCAGAGUCGCCAAGUCUGGUCCCAAGGAGAGGAAGCAGGCUUGAAGAUUUGGCCAUUUACUGAACAUUUUACUUCUGAAAAACCUUUGUUUUGUGAUUUCAGACAAAUUUUUGUAGGUUAUAAAGAUCUUUCAUGCACAGUUCAGUUUCUUGCUUGAAACACCUCCAUUGUUUUGUUUUUUUUUUCUCAGAAUGAUAUUAAAAUUUUAUGGGCA
Molecule: long non-coding RNA, 749 nt
Organism: Brassica napus (rape)
Lineage: Eukaryota; Viridiplantae; Streptophyta; Magnoliopsida; Brassicales; Brassicaceae
Exons: 3
Source: RefSeq, a predicted model, not a curated record